Molecule: ribosomal RNA, 491 nt
Filed under: uncultured bacterium
Lineage: Bacteria
Description: partial 16S ribosomal RNA
Rfam family: Bacterial small subunit ribosomal RNA
Source: RNAcentral
AGUGAACGCUGGCGGUAGGCCUAACACAUGCAAGUCGAACGGCAGCACAGUAAGAGCUUGCUCUUACGGGUGGCGAGUGGCGGACGGGUGAGGAAUACAUCGGAAUCUACUUUUUCGUGGGGAUAACGUAGGGAAACUUACGCUAAUACCGCAUACGACCUACGGGUGAAAGCAGGGGAUCUUCGGACCUUGCGCGAUUGAAUGAGCCGAUGUCGGAUUAGCUAGUUGGCGGGGUAAAGGCCCACCAAGGCGGCGAUCCGUAGCUGGUCUGAGAGGAUGAUCAGCCACACUGGAACUGAGACACGGUCCAGACUCCUACGGGAGGCAGCAGUGGGGAAUAUUGGACAAUGGGCGCAAGCCUGAUCCAGCCAUACCGCGUGGGUGAAGAAGGCCUUCGGGUUGUAAAGCCCUUUUGUUGGGAAAGAAAAGCAGCAGGUUAAUACCCCGCUGUUCUGACGGUACCCAAAGAAUAAGCACCGGCUAACUUCGUG